This 446-nucleotide ribosomal RNA is filed under the name uncultured bacterium. RNAcentral's name for it is "partial 16S ribosomal RNA". It matches the Rfam family "Bacterial small subunit ribosomal RNA", at positions 338 to 795 of the family's 1533-position model. The record is from RNAcentral.
CCUACGGGGGGCUGCAGUCGAGAAUCAUUCACAAUGGGGGAAACUCUGAUGGUGCGACGCCGCGUGGGGGAAUGAAGGUCUUCGGAUUGUAAACCCCUGUCAUGUGGGAGCAAAUUAAAAAGAUAGUACCACAAGAGGAAGAGACGGCUAACUCUGUGCCAGCAGCCGCGGUAAUACAGCGGUCUCAAGCGGUGUUCGGAAUCACUGGGCGUAAAGGGUGCGUAGGCUGUUUCGUAAGUCGGGUGUGAAAGGCGCGGGCUCAACCGGCGGACGGCACAUGAUACUGCGAGACUAGAGUAAUGGAGGGGGAACCGGAAUUCUCGGUGUAGCAGUGAAAUGCGUAGAUAUCGAGAGGAACACUCGUGGCGAAGGCGGGUUCCUGGACAUUAACUGACGCUGAGGCACGAAGGCCAGGGGAGCGAAAGGGAUUAGAUACCCGAGUAGUC